GAACACCGGGCGGGACACGCGUCAUAACAGUGCAGUUCUGGUGCAGCACAUGUGCAGGUGUUGUGCAAAAUGACACGCGCAAUGUGUCUACACAGACACCAGUGCGGCGCGGAUUGCGUUUACACAUACGUCGAACGUGUUUCGCCCCUCUUCGAAUGACUCGGCCCGCACUUUGAUUGCAACAGCCGGGCCGGCCGCACCCACAUUGCUCCGCUCCGGGAUUGAACUGUCAUUGUUCCUCGUGUCUCGGGAUAAAGUGCUUUGAAGAUGGCAUCUCGGGCACACACACACACACAAACACGCACAAGCCUGAUUUAUCGCGUUUGCUCAAGCAUAACCGGCAUGGACUCGAUUCUCGCUCCACAUCUUUCGGACAAACGCAAACGGGUUCGAAAAAAAAAACAAAAA
Molecule: long non-coding RNA, 408 nt
Organism: Anopheles gambiae (African malaria mosquito)
Lineage: Eukaryota; Metazoa; Arthropoda; Insecta; Diptera; Culicidae
Exons: 2
Source: RefSeq, a predicted model, not a curated record